CACCAAGCAUCUUGUGACCCCCACUCCUGCCCACAAGAGAACAACCCCCUUUAACUGUAAUUUUCCACUACCUACCCAAAUCCUAUAAAACUGUCCCACCCCAUCUCUCUCCCUUUGCUGACUCCUUUUUCAGAUUCGCCCACCUACGCCCAGGUGAUUAAAAAGCUUUAUUGCUCACACAAAGACUGUUUGGUGGUCUCUUCACACGGACGCAUGUAACAUUUGGUGCUGAAGACCUGGGACAGGGGGAUUCCUUCAGGAGACUGGUCCCCUGUCCUCGCCCUCACUCCUUGAGGAGAUCCACCUACGACCUUGGGUCCUGAAAUCAGCCCAAGGAACAUCUCACCAAUUUCAAAUCAGCAGAGACAAAGGAGACACAUUUUAUCCGUGAACUCAAAAACUCCAACGUCGGUCACAAAUUUAGGAAGACAGUCUUCCCUUGGUGUCUGAUCACUGCAGGGAUGCCUGCCUUGAUCAUUCACCCACAUUCCAUUGGUGUCUGAUCACUGCGGGGAUGCCUGCCUUGGUCAUUUACCCACAUUUCCUUGGUGGUAAGUCAACUGUGGGGAUGCCUGCUUUGGCUGCUCACCCAUAUUACAGCCCAGGGCUGCUCACCCCUGCCCUCCACCCUGUGUCUCUACCUUUCUCUUUAGACUUACCUCCUUCACUAUGGGCAACUUUCUGCCCUCCAUUCCCCCUUCUUCUCCCUUAGCCUGUGUUCUUAAAAACCUAAAACCCCUUCAACUAACACCUGACCUAAAACCUAAACAUCUUAUUUUCUUCUGUAAUACCACUUGGCCCCAAUACAAACUCGAAAAUAGUUCCAAGUGGCCAGAGAAUGGCACUUUCGAUUUGUCUAUCCUACAAGACCUAGAUAAUUUUUGUCGAAAAUUGGGCAAAUGGUCUGAGGUGCCUGACGUCUAAGCAUUCUUUACACAUUGGUCCCUCCCUAGUCUCUGCUCCCAAUAUGACUCGUCCCAAAUCUUUCUUCUUUCUCUCCUGUCUGUUCCUUCAGGCUCCACCCCAAGCUCUGAGCCCUUUGAAUCCUCCUUUUCUACAGACCCAUCUGACCUUUCCCCAUUCCCCAGGCUGCUCCUCGCCAGGCCAAGCCAGAUCUCAAUUCUUCCUCAGCCUCUGCUCCUCCACCCUAUAAUCCUUCUAUCACCUCCCCUCCUCACACCCGGUCCGGCUUACAGUUUCGUUCCGUGGCUAGCCCUCCCCUACCUGCCCAACAAUUUCCUCUUACAGAGGUGGCUGGAGCUGAAGGCAUAGUCAAGGUUAAUGCUCCUUUUUCUUUAUCCGACCUCUCCCAAAUCAGUUAGCGUUUAGGCUCUUUUUCAUCAAAUAUAAAAACCCAGCCCAGUCCAUGGCCUGUUUGGCAACAACCCUUAGACACUUUACCACCCUAGAUCCAGAGGGGCCAGAAGGCCGUCUUAUUCUUAAUAUGCAUUUUAUUAUCCAAUCCACUCCUGACAUUAGAAAAAGCUCCAAAAAUUAGAUUCCGGCCCUCAAACCCCACAACAGGACUUAAUUAACCUUGCCUUCAAGGUGUACAAUAAUAGAGAAGAGGCAGCCGAGCGGCAGUGUAUUUCUCAAUUGCAAUUACUUGCCUCCACUGUGAGAGAAACCCCAGCCACAUCUCCAGCACAUAAGAACUUCAAAACGCCUAAACCAUAGCAGUCAGGCAUUCCUCCUGGACUUUUUCCCCCAGGAUCUUGCUCCAAGUGCUGGAAAUCUGGCCAGUGGGCCAAGGAAUGCCCACAGCCUGGGAUUCCUCCUAAGCCAUGUCCCAUCUGUGCAGGACCCCACUGGAAAUCAGACUGUCCAACUUGCCCAGCAGCCAUUCCUAGAGCCCCUGGAACUCUGGCCCAAGGCUCUCUGACUGACUCCUUCCCAGAUCUUCUCGGCUUAUCAGCUGAGGACUGACGCUGCCCAAUCGCCUCGCAAGCCUCCUGGACCAUCACAGACACUUCAGGUAACUGCUACAGUGGAGGGGGGCUGGAGCCCUGGGCCAAGGGAGACCUGUGACCCCAGGUGCCGCCGGGAGAACUUCAGCCCAGAGGGGAAAUCAGCUCUCCGUGACCCAGCACCCCUACCCAGCAGCGCAACAGAUCCUGAGAGGAGCUACAGGAUGAUUCUAGAAACAGCGCACUUCAGGAAUCAUGUUGCAGGUGUUGUGCAUUGGAUCCACCACAGUCGGCUGAAACUGACAACUCAAGACAAGUGGACCAGCCAGCAGGACCCAGAUCAUCCAACUCGGCUGAUCCUGAGACGGGACCAAACUGCUGCCGAAGACGACCGCCCUGUUCUGGUCACUCCGGAGGCUAACCAGCCUACGCAUGGCUGAAGUUUGAGGAAACAACAAGCCCUGCUCUAGUCACACACUGAAAGCUGACUAGUCUAUGCACGGCCAAAGCUUGAGGACUCAUCAAGCAAGUAAAUGUAGUUAGAAAUCUUAGAACUAGUAGUUUUCCUUGUAAUAUUAACUGUUUUACUAUUGUUCUGUCACUGUGCUCAACCUCCUCUCCCAAAUAAGGACCUCUUCUGUCCUUACUAGAUAUGAAUAUACUGUACAUUGUUUUACUGUUGUUACCCCACUUAACCAUGCUAGAAGAAACACCCAUAGAAGGGUGUCCCCAUCGUACACAUACUACAUGGUCAGAAAACAGUAUAACCAGGACUCUAUUAUACCAUACUUAUUAUGAGUAUACAGGGACUCACCUAGGAACUUGUACUUACAAUCAGAUCACCUAUUCAAUUUAUGACCCAGGAAAUGGCCAGCUACCUAGGUGGAAGAUAGGUCAUGGAGUUACCGUACUCCUACUUACGUGCUUAAGCGCAUCAUAAGGUUACAGGCAGGGCUUGAGAUCAUCACUAAUAAACAUCAAAUGCAUUAGAUUUACUGACCCAGCAAGCUACAAAAAAUGAGGAAUGCUAUCUAUCAGAACAGAUUAGCUUUAGACUAUCUCCUAGCCCAGGAAGGAGGAGUAUGUGGAAAAUUCAAUCUAACUAAUUGUUGCCUGGAAAUCAAUGACAAUGGAAAGACAUUUAUGGAAAUAACUGCAAGAAUAAGAAAAUUAACCCACGUUCCAGUUCAAACGUAGAAAGGGUGGUCUCCAGAUUCUCUCUUUGGAGGCUGUUUUUCAUUUUUCGGAGGGUUCAAGACUUUAAUAAGAUUGAUUCUGGCCAUACUAGGAAGUUGCCUAAUACUACCUUGUCUCUUACCUCUCCUUGUUAGAAACAUUCAGUCAACUAUAGAGGCAAUAGUAGCUAGGCAAACUACCAGUCAGCUAAUGGCUCUAUGUAAAUGUCAACCUUUGUCUAAAGAAGAAAACUUGUCUCUUCAUGCAAAAUUAAAUAAUAGUGAUGCCUCCUAUUAAAUUUCUUUUAUAAAAGGCAUCAAAGGGGGGAAACUGAGGCAGAAAUUUAAAAAUAAAUAUGCAUUCAUUCACUCCAAGAAAAGUUAACAGGCAAGGCAAGGGUUAAAAAGAAAAGAACAAGUUUUCCUCGGCCUAGCAAGCUCACUUCAAGGACAGUUAUAAGAUAAUGUUGUUUGAGAAGCCAAGUCCAAAGGAAUGGGUUCCAGACAUCCCUCCCCUCUAGAACAAGGUUGAAGGAAAAAAAAAAAAAAAGAAGAAGACAAAUUCCUUUACUGUUACUCCUUUCCCUGGCUUCUUAAGCAUGAUUAUGUUUUACAAAUGUCUGUAUUUAGCCAGUUCUUGAUUUUCUUUUGACACAGCUCCAAGGCCACCAGCUAUGCAAGGCCACAAGUUAUGCACUAUAUGAUUAACUGCUUUUGUUUUACUUUUGUAAGUCCACUUAUAAAAACCCUGCUCUGUCUUUGUUUAAUGCUCAGCUUUUUGGAUUUGAAUCCACUCAGCCGGUGCACACCUUAAAAUAAACAUCCUCCUGUACUCUCAUAUUGGUCUCUCCAUUCCUCAGUUUCCCACAAGAUUACAAGCAUGAGCCACCGCACCGGGCCCAUUUUAACCAUUUUCAAAUGGAGAAUUCAGUGGUAUUAGGUACAUUUAUAUUGUUGUGCAACCAUCACCACUAUCCAUCUACAGAACUCUUUUUAUCUUGUGAAACUAAAACUCUAUACCCAUUAAACACUAACUCCUCACUCCUCCCUUCCCUCAUCACUUGACAGCCAUCCUUCUACUUUAUGUCUCUAUUCAUAGGUAUGAGCUCCCCCAUGCCUGCCCAAAUCACUAAUCUAAAAGGAAAUGUCAAGCUGAGAACUUCUUAGGGCAAACCUGCCUCCCAUUCUAUUCAAAGUUACCCCUCUGCUCAGAGAUAAAUGCAUAUCUCAUUGCCUCCUUUGGAGAAGCUAAUCAGAAACUCAAAAGAAUGCAACCAUUUGUCUCUUUUCUACCUAUGACCUGGAAGCCCCCUCCCUGCUUUGAGCUGUCCCGCCUUUCUGGACCAAACCAAUGUUCAUCUUACAUAUAUUAACUGAUGUCUCAUUUCUCCCUAAAAUGUAUAAAACCAAGCUAUGGUCUGACUACCCUGGGCACAUGACAUCAGGACCUCCUGAGACUGCGCCAUGGGUGCACAUCCUCAACUGUGGCAAAAUAAACUUUAUUUU
RNAcentral lists this long non-coding RNA (4588 nucleotides) under Homo sapiens (human). Its description in RNAcentral is "PREDICTED lncRNA (TCONS_00040580)". The record is from RNAcentral. Lineage: Eukaryota; Metazoa; Chordata; Mammalia; Primates; Hominidae.